This is a non-coding RNA of Podarcis lilfordi (Lilford's wall lizard), 684 nucleotides long. Lineage: Eukaryota; Metazoa; Chordata; Lepidosauria; Squamata; Lacertidae. The record is from the annotation of a GenBank genome assembly.
CCAGUCUUCUUUCACCAUCUCUUCUCUCUGGUCUCGGAUUCUGCCAGUCAUUUCCGCCAGUUCCAUGUAGUCAAUCACCUUCAUCUGCCAUUCUUCCAGAGUGGGUAGAUCUUGUGUCUUCCAAUACUUUGCGAUGAGUAUUCUUGCUGCUGUUGUUGCAUACAUAAAAAAAGUUCUAUCCUUCUUUGGCACCAAUUGACCGACAAUGCCCAAAAGAAAGGCCUCUGGUUUCUUCGGAAAGGUAUAUUUAAAUACCUUUUUCAAUUCAUUAUAUAUCAUUUCCCAGAAAGCCUUAAUCCUUGGGCACGUCCACCAAAGGUGAAAGAAUGUACCUUCAGUUUCUUUACAUUUCCAACAUUUAUUAUCGGGCAAAUGAUAGAUUUUUGCAAGCUUGACUGGGGUCAUGUACCACCUGUAUAUCAUUUUCAUAAUAUUCUCUCUUAAGGCAUUACAUGCCGUAAACUUCAUACCUGUGGUCCAUAACUGUUCCCAGUCAGCAAACAUAAUAUUGUGUCCAACAUCUUGUGCCCAUUUAAUCAUAGCAGAUUUCACCGUUUCAUCCUGAGUAUUCCAUUUCAACAGCAAGUUAUACAUUCUUGACAAAUUCUUAGUUUGGGGUUCUAGCAGUUCUGUUUCUAAUUUUGACUUUUCCACCUGGAAGCCUAUUUUCUUAUCCAAAUUAUA